AUUGAACGCUGGCGGCAUGCCUUACACAUGCAAGUCGAACGGCAGCACGGGAGCAAUCCUGGUGGCGAGUGGCGAACGGGUGAGUAAAGUAUCGGAACGUGCCCAGUCGUGGGGGAUAACGUAGCGAAAGUUACGCUAAUACCGCAUACGAUCUAUGGAUGAAAGCGGGGGAUCGCAAGACCUCGCGCGAUUGGAGCGGCCGAUAACAGAUUAGGUAGUUGGCGGGGUAAAGGCUCACCAAGCCGACGAUCUGUAGCUGGUCUGAGAGGACGACCAGCCACACUGGGACUGAGACACGGCCCAGACUCCUACGGGAGGCAGCAGUGGGGAAUUUUGGACAAUGGGCGAAAGCCUGAUCCAGCCAUGCCGCGUGCAGGAUGAAGGCCUUCGGGUUGUAAACUGCUUUUGUACGGAACGAAAAGGUUUGGCCUAAUAAGCUGAGCUCAUGACGGUACCGUAAGAAUAAGCACCGGCUAACUACGUGCCAGCCGCCGCAGUAA
RNAcentral lists this ribosomal RNA (500 nucleotides) under uncultured bacterium. Its description in RNAcentral is "partial 16S ribosomal RNA". It matches the Rfam family "Bacterial small subunit ribosomal RNA", at positions 30 to 523 of the family's 1533-position model. The record is from RNAcentral.